CCUACGGGGGGCAGUAGUGAGGAAUAUUGGUCAAUGGACGAGAGUCUGAACCAGCCAAGUAGCGUGAAGGAUGACUGCCCUAUGGGUUGUAAACUUCUUUUAUAUGGGAAUAAAAUGUUCCACGUGUGGGAUUUUGUAUGUACCAUAUGAAUAAGGAUCGGCUAACUCCGUGCCAGCAGCCGCGGUAAUACGGAGGAUCCGAGCGUUAUCCGGAUUUAUUGGGUUUAAAGGGAGCGUAGGUGGAUUGUUAAGUCAGUUGUGAAAGUUUGCGGCUCAACCGUAAAAUUGCAGUUGAAACUGGCAGUCUUGAGUACAGUAGAGGUGGGCGGAAUUCGUGGUGUAGCGGUGAAAUGCUUAGAUAUCACGAAGAACUCCGAUUGCGAAGGCAGUUCACUGGACUGCAACUGACACUGAGGCUCGAAAGUGUGGGUAUCAAACAGGAUUAGAUACCCCUGUAGUC
Molecule: ribosomal RNA, 460 nt
Filed under: uncultured bacterium
Lineage: Bacteria
Description: partial 16S ribosomal RNA
Rfam family: Bacterial small subunit ribosomal RNA
Source: RNAcentral